This 253-nucleotide ribosomal RNA is filed under the name uncultured bacterium. Its description in RNAcentral is "partial 16S ribosomal RNA". It matches the Rfam family "Bacterial small subunit ribosomal RNA", at positions 524 to 776 of the family's 1533-position model. The record is from RNAcentral.
UACGUAGGGUGCGAGCGUUAAUCGGAAUUACUGGGCGUAAAGCGUGAGCAGGCGGUUUUGUAAGCCAGAUGUGAAAGCCCCGGGCUUAACCUGGGAAUGGCAUUUGGGACUGCAAGGCUUGAGUGCGGCAGAGGAGACUGGAAUUCCUGGUGUAGCAGUGAAAUGCGUAGAUAUCAGGAGGAAUACCGAUGGCGAAGGCAGGUCUCUGGGCUGACACUGACGCUCAUGCACGAAAGCGUGGGGAGCAAACAGG